Molecule: ribosomal RNA, 639 nt
Filed under: Triticum aestivum (bread wheat)
Lineage: Eukaryota; Viridiplantae; Streptophyta; Magnoliopsida; Poales; Poaceae
Description: partial small subunit ribosomal RNA
Source: RNAcentral
AUGGAGCUGGUAUGCUGGAACGUUAGGGGACUCAAUAGCACUGCGAAACGGAAUUCUCUUAGGGAGUUUGUAGCUACGAUCCAUCCUGCCAUCAUGUGUAUCUUAGAGACUAAGUUGGAGGUGGUCGAUCAGUUUGUAAUAAUGCAAUGCCUUGGGCCGGCGUAUGAUGGUUUCUUUUAUCUUCCUGCUGCUAACACACGUGGAGGUAUUUUCGUGGCGUGGGACUCCACCAAGGUGCAAUUGACAAAUUUUGUCAAUGACAAAAACUUUAUCACGGGUUAUGUCACCCCGGUCGAAGGGCCGGCGUGGUGGCUGACGGUGGUGUAUGGGCCUCAGGAGGACGCCGAGAAGAUCAUCUUCUUAGAGGAGCUCACUGCUAGACGACAUCUUUGUCCAGGGCCCUGGAUCGUCAUUGGUGACUUCAACAUGAUCCUCUACGCCCAGGACAAGAGCAAUGCUCGCCUUGAUCACAGGAUGAUGGGCAGGUUCAAACGUUUUGUGGAUGACAAUGCAAUCAAGGAGCUUUUUUACAUGGCCGCAGAUUCACCUGGUGUAGUGAGCAUGAGGUGCCUACUCUUACCAAAAUUGACAGAGCAUUUGUGUCAAUUGAUUGGGAAUUGGAUCACCCGGAAUGUCUAA